AACUAACGCUGGCGGCGUGCCUAACACAUGCAAGUCGAACGGCAGCACGGGGCAACCUGGUGGCGAGUGGCGAACGGGUGAGUAAUACAUCGGAACGUGCCCAAUCGUGGGGGGAUAACGUAGCGAAAGUUACGCUAAUACCGCAUACGAUCUACGGAUGAAAGCGGGGGAUCGCAAGACCUCGCGCGAAUGGAGCGGCCGAUGUCAGAUUAGGUAGUUGGUGGGGUAAAGGCUCACCAAGCCAACGAUCUGUAGCUGGUCUGAGAGGACGACCAGCCACACUGGAACUGAGACACGGUCCAGACUCCUACGGGAGGCAGCAGUGAGGAAUAUUGGUCAAUGGGCGCAAGCCUGAACCAGCCAUCCCGCGUGCAGGAAGACGGCCCUAUGGGUUGUAAACUGCUUUUCCAGGGAGAGAAACUUACGCACGUGUUGCGUGACUGACGGUACCCUGGGAAUAAGCAUCGGCUAACUCCGUGCCAGCACGCCGAC
RNAcentral lists this ribosomal RNA (492 nucleotides) under uncultured bacterium. RNAcentral's name for it is "bacterial SSU rRNA". It matches the Rfam family "Bacterial small subunit ribosomal RNA", at positions 29 to 522 of the family's 1533-position model. The record is from RNAcentral.